GCGGGAAUAUUGCGCAAUGGGCGAAAGCCUGACGCAGCAACGCCGCGUGAGCGAUGAAGGCCCUCGGGUCGUAAAGCUCUGUCAGGAGAGACGAAGGGCAGUUCGGUUAAUAGCCUAGCUGUCUGACGGUACCUCCAGAGGAAGCCCCGGCAAACUCCGUGCCAGCAGCCGCGGUAAGUCGGAGGGGGCAAGCGUUGUUCGGAAUUACUGGGCGUAAAGGGCGUGUAGGCGGCCAUAUAAGUUAGGUGUAAAAUCAUCUGGCUCAACCAGAUAACUGCGCCUAAAACUGUAUGGCUUGAGUGCAGGAGAGGAAAGUGGAAUUGCCGGUGUAACGGUGAAAUGUGUAGAUAUCGGCAAGAACACCAGUGGUGAAGGCGGCUUUCUAGACUGCUACUGACGCUGAGGCGCGAAAGCUAGGGGAGCAAACGGGAUUAGAUACCCCCGUAGUCC
Molecule: ribosomal RNA, 450 nt
Filed under: uncultured prokaryote
Description: bacterial SSU rRNA
Rfam family: Bacterial small subunit ribosomal RNA
Source: RNAcentral